RNAcentral lists this non-coding RNA (120 nucleotides) under Maribacter dokdonensis. The record is from RNAcentral. Lineage: Bacteria; Pseudomonadati; Bacteroidota; Flavobacteriia; Flavobacteriales; Flavobacteriaceae.
GGUGGAACCGACCCACCAACGUCGUUUUAUAGGAGAAGGCGUUAAACCACCUAAAGGUGCUGUUGUAAAGAGCGAUGGUACUGAGCGUUUAGGAAACGGCUAGUCAAGAACUGGUCAGGU